Molecule: ribosomal RNA, 484 nt
Filed under: uncultured bacterium
Lineage: Bacteria
Description: bacterial SSU rRNA
Rfam family: Bacterial small subunit ribosomal RNA
Source: RNAcentral
AUUGAACGCUGGCGGCAUGCCUUACACAUGCAAGUCGAACGGCAGCACGGACUUCGGUCUGGUGGCGAGUGGCGAACGGGUGAGUAAUGUAUCGGAACGUACCUUUCAGUGGGGGAUAGCGUAGCGAAAGUUACGCUAAUACCGCAUAUUCUGUGAGCAGGAAAGCAGGGGAUCGCAAGACCUUGCGCUGAUUGAGCGGCCGAUAUCAGAUUAGCUAGUUGGUGGGGUAAAGGCCUACCAAGGCUACGAUCUGUAGCGGGUCUGAGAGGAUGAUCCGCCACACUGGAACUGAGACACGGUCCAGACUCCUACGGGAGGCAGCAGUGGGGAAUUUUGGACAAUGGGGGCAACCCUGAUCCAGCCAUGCCGCGUGAGUGAAGAAGGCCUUCGGGUUGUAAAGCUCUUUCGGCCGGGAAGAAAUCGCAUAGGCUAAUACCCUGUGUGGAUGACGGUACCGGAAUAAGAAGCACCGGCUAACUACGUG